Molecule: ribosomal RNA, 484 nt
Filed under: uncultured bacterium
Lineage: Bacteria
Description: partial 16S ribosomal RNA
Rfam family: Bacterial small subunit ribosomal RNA
Source: RNAcentral
AUUGAACGCUGGCGGCAUGCUUUACACAUGCAAGUCGAACGGCAGCGCGGGCUUCGGCCUGGCUGCGAGUGGCGAACGGGUGAGUAAUGCAUCGGAACGUGCCCAGUAGUGGGGGAUAGCACGGCGAAAGCCGGAGUAAUACCGCAUACGACCUGAGGUUGAAAGCGUGGGACCGAAAGGCCUCGCGCUUUUGCAGGGGCCGAUGUCGGAUUCGCUAGUUGGUGGGGUAAAGGCUUACCAAGGCGACGAUCCGUAGCUGGUCUGAGAGGACGACCAGCCACACUGGGACUGAGACACGGCCCAGACUCCUACGGGAGGCAGCAGUGGGGAAUUUUGGACAAUGGGGGCAACCCUGAUCCAGCCAUGCCGCGUGCGGGAAGAAGGCCUUCGGGUUGUAAACCGCUUUUGUUCGGGAAGAAAUCCUCUGGGCUAAUACCCCGGGGGGAUGACGGUACCGGAAGAAUAAGCACCGGCUAACUACGUG